RNAcentral lists this ribosomal RNA (454 nucleotides) under uncultured bacterium. Its description in RNAcentral is "partial 16S ribosomal RNA". It matches the Rfam family "Bacterial small subunit ribosomal RNA", at positions 28 to 507 of the family's 1533-position model. The record is from RNAcentral.
GAUGAACGCUGACAGAAUGCUUAACACAUGCAAGUCAACUUGAACUUCGGUUUGGGUGGCGGACGGGUGAGUAACGCGUAAAGAACUUGCCUCACAGAUAGGGACAACAUUUGGAAACGAAUGCUAAUACCUGAUAUUAUGAUUUUAGGGCAUCCUAGGAUUAUGAAAGCUAUAUGCGCUGUGAGAGAGCUUUGCGUCCCAUUAGCUAGUUGGAGAGGUAACGGCUCACCAAGGCGAUGAUGGGUAGCCGGCCUGAGAGGGUGAUCGGCCACAAGGGGACUGAGACACGGCCCUUACACAUACGGGAGGCAGCAGUGGGGAAUAUUGGACAAUGGACCAAGAGUCUGAUCCAGCAAUUCUGUGUGCACGAUGAAGUUUUUCGGAAUGUAAAGUGCUUUCAGUUGGGAAGAAAAAAAUGACGGUACCAACAGAAGAAGUGACGGCUAAAUACGUG